Molecule: ribosomal RNA, 459 nt
Filed under: uncultured bacterium
Lineage: Bacteria
Description: SSU rRNA
Rfam family: Bacterial small subunit ribosomal RNA
Source: RNAcentral
AGAAUCAACGCUGGCGGCGUGCCUAACACAUGCAAGUCGAACGAGAAAGUGGAGCAAUCCAUGAGUAAAGUGGCGCACGGGUGAGUAACACGUGACUAACCUACCCUUGAGUGGGGGAUAACCUAGGGAAACCUGGGCUAAUACCGCAUAAUACCUUCGGGUCAAAGGAGCAAUUCGCUUAAGGAGGGGGUCGCGGCCGAUUAGUUAGUUGGCGGGGUAAUGGCCCACCAAGACGAUGAUCGGUAUCCGGCCUGAGAGGGCGCACGGACACACUGGAACUGAAACACGGUCCAGACUCCUACGGGAGGCAGCAGUGGGGAAUUUUGCGCAAUGGGGGAAACCCUGACGCAGCAACGCCGCGUGGAGGAUGAAGCCCCUUGGGCGUAAACUCCUUUCGAUCGGGACGAUUAUGACGGUACCGGAAGAAGAAGCCCCGGCUAACUUCGUGCCAGCAGCCGC